This 206-nucleotide ribosomal RNA is filed under the name Wolbachia pipientis. RNAcentral describes it as "partial 16S ribosomal RNA". It matches the Rfam family "Bacterial small subunit ribosomal RNA", at positions 10 to 226 of the family's 1533-position model. The record is from RNAcentral. Lineage: Bacteria; Pseudomonadati; Pseudomonadota; Alphaproteobacteria; Rickettsiales; Anaplasmataceae.
AGUUUGAUCAUGGCUCACAAUGAACGCUGGCGGCAGGCCUAACACAUGCAAGUCGAACGGAGUUAUAUUGUAGCUUGCUAUGGUAUAACUUAGUGGCAGACGGGUGAGUAAUGUAUAGGAAUCUACCUUGUUUUACGGAGUAGUUGUUGGACACCGAAACUAAUACCGUUUACGCCCUACGGGGGAAAAAUUAUUUGCAAUUAGAU